CCAGGUUUAAUGCAGGGGUGUUGUGGAUACACAGCCACUCACAGUUGCAACAACUGUGAUUCUCCUCCCCCUGUCUCACGUUCAGCCCUCUGCGUGCCUGGGCCGGCUUUCUCUCCUGAUUUAGAUUGUGCUCUGCACUCAGGGACGGGAGUACAGCUGAAGUAUGCUCCGGUCAGGCCAGCUCAAGCACUGAAAACGUUUGCCUCACGGUGGGACCCCAGAACAUGGACCCCCUGACAGAGUUCCCCUUUGUGGAGGAUGAGGGGCUCACCAUGAAGAAGACAGGGGUCUCCCUCUCUGUCUCCCUCUAAAGAGCCUCUCCAAGACCCUGACUCAGACGUGUACGCCAAGUUCUUCAUGAGUCACUGCUGCUACGAUGCCAUUCCAACAAGCUCCAAACUGGUCAUCUUUGACACAACACUGCAGGUGAAGAAAGCAUUCUUUGCAAUGGUUGCAAACGGGGUCAGAGCGGCACCUUUAUGGGACAACAAGCUGCAGUGUUUCGUAGGGAUGCUCACCAUUACAGACUUUAUCAACAUUCUCCAUCGUUACUACAAAUCACCCUUGGUUCAGAUUUAUGAGCUGGAGGAACACAAGAUUGAAACAUGGAGAGAGAUCUAUCUACAGUAUUCUCUCAACUCCCUGAUCAGCAUCACACCUGAAUCCAGCCUCUUCAAAGCCAUUUAUUCUUUACUGAAGAACAAGAUUCACCGGCUACCCGUCAUAGAUCCAGAAUCAGGGAACGUCCUCCACAUACUCACCCAUAAACGUAUCCUCAAGUUCUUACACAUCUUUGGCACUAUGAUCCCCAAGCCACGAUUUCUACAGAAGCGGAUUGAGGAAGUGGAAAUCGGAACAUUCAAGAGCAUCGCGACUAUCAGGGAGACAGAAACAGUUUAUGACGCUUUAUCAAUAUUUGUAGAGCGACGGGUCUCAGCCCUGCCCGUCAUCAACGAGCAAGGGAAAGUGGUGGCUCUUUACUCCAGAUUUGAUGUCAUUAAUUUGGCUGCACAGCAAAGCUACAACAACCUGAACAUGACGAUGCAGGAAGCCAUUCAGGGCCGCUGGUGCUGCAUUGAGGGGGUGCUGAAGUGUUACCCUCACGAGACCCUCGAAACCAUCAUUGAUCGCAUCGCUGAGGCAGAGGUUCACCGUCUAGUGCUGGUGGACACAGAGGAUGUGGUGAAGGGAAUCGUCUCCCUCUCUGAUUUGCUUCAGGCACUGGUUUUGACUCCUGCAGGCGUUGAAGCACUUUUCUGUUAACACCAGUGGAGAGCUUCCUCUCCACCAUCAUCCUCACUUCCUAUCCUCUCUUACCAGAAUUUUGUCGCAAAAGAAACCAUGAGCCUUGCAGAUGAAUGCUCGAAGACAGAAAGUGUAAAUAUUUUUGAUGUUGCGAGCACUUUGGGUUUUGAUGUUUCACUAUAAACAUGUCUAAUCUUAUUUUACAAUUUUACUUUUAUAUUUGUGUAAUUUAUUAAAGAAUUAUAAUCACAUAAUCAUCUGAACUGUGCUAGUUCUAUGUCAGAUAAAACUACAGACAUCAAGCAUGCCAUGUAAUAAUGACAACUUUCUGGCAAAAAAUCUCUCUUUUUAUAACAUUUUUGUUAUAAAACUUCUUGACCCCUGAUCCUCACUUUGUAAAUAAACAGAUUAUGUCAUUUAGUCACAUUAAAUCCAAAAUUCACUGUGG
Molecule: RNA transcript, 1693 nt
Organism: Rhinichthys klamathensis goyatoka
Lineage: Eukaryota; Metazoa; Chordata; Actinopteri; Cypriniformes; Leuciscidae
Gene: prkag3b
Gene name: protein kinase, AMP-activated, gamma 3b non-catalytic subunit
Exons: 13
Source: RefSeq, a predicted model, not a curated record